This 482-nucleotide ribosomal RNA is filed under the name uncultured bacterium. RNAcentral describes it as "partial 16S ribosomal RNA". It matches the Rfam family "Bacterial small subunit ribosomal RNA", at positions 30 to 507 of the family's 1533-position model. The record is from RNAcentral.
AUUGAACGCUGGCGGCAUGCCUUACACAUGCAAGUCGAACGGUAACAGGUCUUCGGAUGCUGACGAGUGGCGAACGGGUGUGUAAUACAUCGGAACGUGCCCGAUCGUGGGGGAUAACGAGGCGAAAGCUUUGCUAAUACCGCAUACGAUCUACGGAUGAGAGCGGGGGAUCUUCGGACCUCGCGCGGACGGAGCGGCCGAUGGCAGAUUAGGUAGUUGGUGGGAUACAAGCUUACCAAGCCGACGAUCUGUAGCUGGUCUGAGAGGAUGAUCAGCCACACUGGGACUGAGACACGGCCCAGACUCCUACGGGAGGCAGCAGUGGGGAAUUUUGGACAAUGGGCGAAAGCCUGAUCCAGCCAUGCCGCGUGCAGGAUGAAGGCCUUCGGGUUGUAAACUGCUUUUGUACGGAACGAAAAGCCUCUUUCUAAUAAAGAGGGGUCAUGACGGUACCGUAAGAAUAAGCACCGGCUAACUACGUG